This 65-nucleotide transfer RNA is filed under the name Cerceris albofasciata. RNAcentral's name for it is "tRNA-Glu". The record is from RNAcentral. Lineage: Eukaryota; Metazoa; Arthropoda; Insecta; Hymenoptera; Crabronidae.
UUUUAUAUAGUUUAAUAAAAACAUUAUAUUUUCAUUAUAAAAAUAAUAAAUCUUAUUUAUAAAAA